This is a long non-coding RNA of Leptidea sinapis, 1732 nucleotides long. RefSeq lists it as uncharacterized. Lineage: Eukaryota; Metazoa; Arthropoda; Insecta; Lepidoptera; Pieridae. The record is from RefSeq and is a predicted model, not a curated record. The transcript has 2 exons.
GUGUGCACUGGGGACGUUAAUAAAAUAAUCUAUCAUGCGCGAAUCGAAUUUAAACAGUGAUAAAACAAUUUUUUAAGGGUAUUUUCUUACAGAGCCUAUAAACAACUUGUGUAAAACAGGUUUUUAAUCUCUUAUUGGUGGUGGAGUAUUUUGUACUAAACACAAUGGAUCCAAAUGAUGCCUGGGAUGCAUAUGAUGCUAGUAUGGCUGCUUCCGAACCUCCACCUACUCAAAACUAUGCAAGUUCUAGUAGACCUAAAGCUAGAAGUGUUUAUACUAAUACGAAUAGAUGGCUGGAAAACUCAUAACACCACACACUCAGAUGUUUGCAUAAAAAUAAUAUUAUUUUGAUUAAUAAUAAUAAUAAUUAUUAUUAUUAUUUGAUUAACAACAUCAAAGUUCCAUCUGAUAAAGUGGGGAGAAUUAUUGGUAAAGGUGGUUCUAAAAUUCGUGAUUUAGAGUACAAAACUGAGACAAAGAUCCUAAGUGGCCAAUCGAAAGGUUCAGAGUAUGUUAUUACUGUGUGGUGAUCUGAUAAUAGUAUUAGUAAAGAACAGCAAAAAAAAAAGAAACCUAACAGAAGAGUGGAAGCCUCCAGUAAGAAAAUCAUUUAAUACUGCUACAAAUUCUAUUCAACCUGGUCCAAGUUUGACCCCAAUAAAUAUAUGGUGAUAAAUGAGUUUGGAGAGGAAAUUCUGGACGUUUCACCAUUAAAAGCACAUUAUAAUGUGGUGAAGAAAGAGAGAUGAGUAAACCACCCUCCAAUUGUGAAGAAUGUCUGCAAUGAAGACCCCAAAAUUCAGGAUAUGACUCAAUUUGAAGUGGCCCAAUGGAGAAAAAUUAACAAGGACAUACUCAUACAAGUUAGUAGAAGAGAGAGAAUUUGUAGAUAAACCUGACCUCAGGGCAAUUCCAAAUCCGGUUCUUAAGUUUGAACAUGCAAUCCGUAAUUAUUCUGAAAUUCUGGAACAAAUAUAUAAACAGAGUUUUACACAACCAUCACCAAUUCAGAUUCUACCCUGGCCAAUCCUAUUAAGAGAAGAUAUGAGAGAGAGAUCUCUUUAACUCACAUUAUAUUUGCAGUUUUAGUGUAUAUCAUAUAACGAUAAAUGAAACGCAAAAUAAAGAGGAGAUACUGGGUGAGACCUAGUCUACAAAACAGGCAUAACAUGAAGAAGAAUGAAACAAAGAAGUGCUCAUCCGAAUUUUUGUCAAGCUUUGAUAUUGUCUUUAUCUUAUUUACUUUAUUUUAUUAUAUAAAGGUAAAUAAGAUUUAAUUUAAUCAAUUAAUAAUGUCCACUUUAAAAUACAUACCUGAUAUAAAGUCAACAAUAAUUGACUAUUCAUUACUCGGUCAGUAUUAUAAAGAUAACAAGUUUGUUACAAAUUCCUAGCUCAGAAGAAGAGUGGUUAUCAACUUCUUCAACUUUCAUGUUGAAAUGGAACUUACCCAAUUGCUUAGGCAAAAUUAAUAAAUAGCACAUUCGUUUACAAUGCCCAAAUAGGAACAGCUCUAUUUUUUUUAAUUAUAAGUCAUAUUUUAGUAAUGUUUUGCUAGCAUUUGUUGACGCUAAUUGUAACUUUUUGUAUGUGGAUGUCGGUUGCCAGGGAAGAAUAUCUGACGGUGCUAUUCUGCGUAAUUCUACUUUGUGUCAUAUAAAACAAAAUAGAUCUGUUUAUCUGCCACAAGCUCACAACAGCAUUAGAGGAGAGAAAUACACCGGUACUUUUU